Long non-coding RNA from Brassica napus (rape), 1534 nucleotides. RefSeq lists it as uncharacterized. The record is from RefSeq and is a predicted model, not a curated record. Lineage: Eukaryota; Viridiplantae; Streptophyta; Magnoliopsida; Brassicales; Brassicaceae. The transcript has 7 exons.
GCUUUUUUGUUAUAUAGUUCCGGUUCUCGACACACUUAUUUGAACUGGGCUUUUAUUACAAUUACAGAUUAAGCCCACAUGGAAUUAGGGUUAGUCUUCCAUCAUCCUCUUGCUCCUGCGACCUACACGAUGAAAUCCCACAGAGAUGAAGAUCGCCGUUUUGAUCUCCGUAACAUCUCAACAAUCCAUAAAUAUUUUCUUUACUUUGAGUUUUUUGUGAUUGAUCCACUCCUCCCACUUCAAACACAGUGUCAAGCUCUCAAAUCGCAAAAACUAACAACUCUUCUCAACUCCUCCGGUGAAGUAACGCUCAGUUUUAAUGUUUUUCAGUAACCAAAACCCAUGAUCCCACUAUCGCCUCUUCAUUGCCUAUUUAAUUUCUUUUUCAUAACCUCUGGCGACCACAUAUAUUUACUCUCAGAGUGUGAUCUCUAAUUUCCUUACUGUAUGCCGAUUGAUUAUAGCUUAAACUCCUAGACAAGCUCUCGGCUUCAUUUGUCCGAGUUGAAUGCAGGACACUGUAGGGAGGUCGUUGAGGCUCCUUCGAUUUUGGAAGUCUCUGAAUGUCAAAGCAGGGUCGGCUGAUGGGUGUUGAUAUGUUGCUGCUUGAUUCCAAGUUGCUAGCAUUUUAAACAUAUUCCAACGGCUGUUGUUGGAAAAAUUAUGGGGAUUCGAACAGCUUACAGUGAAGAGAGUCAGAGUAUACAGCGCAGGAUGAUCACCCUAAUCAUUGGAGCUCUGAUGUAUGCAAGUAUUUGACGGCUUAGCUAAGCUCCUUGAAGAGAAUUUGCUGAGUAGGAACGAAGAACCCGAGGUUUUGGUUGCAACUAACAUCAACCCUAAAUUAGUAGGCGCGGCUAUUCCUGAAUAAGACAUCCACCACUCAUUUAUAUUUAGAUAAUGAGUGUGUUGCUGGUGCAAGUUAUCUUCAGAGGGUGUGUUGCAGUAAGGAAUGCUCAACCUCUAACCCGAAGAAGUAUGUGUUGUCAAGAAAAUUGAGCCAUUGACUUUGGCCAAAUUGCAGCGUGGAUUCACAUCAUUCACAUGUGUUUCAUGCAAUGAGGAGAACGUUGCUGGAGUUAUAAGAUGAGCGUCUCUGAUGCUACUGAAACUUCGAAUUUUGUUGCUUUGACACUGAAGUCACUAAACUGAACAAUAUACGUGAUGCCGAUGUCCCAACGAGCAGGGAGGUGGUGGACAAAACCCCAGGAUUGGGACCUUCUACUAGGUCUACAUGGAUGGUUACUCAGGAAAGAAGCCACAGACUGACUAACUUAGAAAGAAGUGGAGCUUUUUGGAAAAAAAAAAAAAAAAAGAAGAACGAAGAAAGAAGAAAGAAGAAAGAAGUGGAGCUUCGAUUACAAAAAAUAAUGACCUGUACGUUGCUUUUCUUUGAAAAUAAUAUUUCCAGGCACUGAAGUCUGAGUACUUCAAAACUUUGACAUAUUUUGAUUUUAUGUUUACUUUUUUCGUAAAUGCACCGUCUCAGACGUUUUGCAGUUGAAAAAUAAAAAGAAAAGUUGAUUCUCCACUA